GGCGGAGCCGGGGCGGAGCCACGGCGCUGGCGGCCCCGGCGGCGGCGGCAGGUGUGGAUGGGGCGAAGGUGCGGGAACGUCCACUCCCGCGCGCCCCUCUCGGGGACCAGGGCGGCCUCCCAGGAGGAGCUUGGUUUCUGGUCCUCAUACCGUGUGGUUGAGUGAAAUCAAAACUUCCACGAUAGCAAUGCUGAUUGGACAAAGAAUGUGUUGUGGACACAAAACCAAACUCUGGAGGACAGAGGAUUCAUUCCAAGGGUCUGCUUGUAUUCAAUGACUGGUCUACGUGGGGGUGUGAAGUCCCCUUACUCCACCUGUGAAGAGUCUUCCCAGUUUCAGACCACCCUCCCAGCCUCCUGUUAUUGGCUAAGGCCAUUUUGUGACUACACUGCAGGUAGAGAUGGAUUCCUGGAAAUACCUCCUCAAGGCCAGUGUAGAGCCCUCAAUCACCCACUGCCCCCAGCUUCUCCUUCUCCCAUCUCCUGCACCAAGCAGGUCUCCAGGUGUUCCAGCUGCUGAUGACGUAAAGUGUGGAGUUGGUCCAGGAAGGUCAUGUUCCAUGCAGCAGAGGAGCGCUUUGUGUGAGAAGUUGAAGACCUGCUGUAACACAUCAUAGAGGAAAGACAUAGCCUGGGCCUUCUGCAACUGGCUGACUUCCACCUUCUCCUGGGGGAAUCUGAAGUCACUUCUGUCCUUUAGACACAAGAAGGGAGAGAUUCUCCUCAUUUGGCCCAAAAGCACCAAGGUGUUCCUGCCUAGCAGGCCAUGGUUCUGAGGCAGGUUAUAUCCUAGAGAUCCAGAAGAGCCACAGCUGCACACCUCUAGGGCUGCCAGUAGAGGGAAGAGGAGGGCCAUUGAGAAAUCAGGAUGCUUUUGGCCUGGUUGAGCUGAGGUCUUCAUAGAACCUUGGAUCCUAGGUUCUAUGAAGACAUUCUAUCUAUGCAUGGCUUUAAUGGAGCACAAAUAGUUUUCAUUUUUCUGAGCAUUUCUCUAAAUUUUUAAUUCCAUUUAUUGUUUUCAUUUACAUGUCUUCUAUAUCAGCAUCCACAACCUUUUGGCCACCAGUUUGGUGGAAGAUAAUUUUUCCACGAAAAAUGGGGUCAGGGAGGGAAUGCUUUCAGAGGCAUUAGAUUCUCAUUAGGAGACCACAACCUAGAUCCUUCGCAUCUGCACUUCACAAUAGGGUUCCUGCUCUUUUGAGAAUCCAAUGCCACUGCUGAUCUGACAGGAGGCAGAGCUCAGGCGUUAAUGCUUGUUGGUUGGCCUGCUUGCCUCCUGCUGUGCGGCCCUGUUCCUACCAGGCCAGGACCAGUACCCCGGUCCAUGGAUGGGGGUUGAAAAACCUUGUUCUAUAUGACCUAAAAGGAGGUCAUCACUCUACACUCUUGAUUUUUGCAAUGGAUGUUCAAUAUUCCCAGUAAACUUAAGAUAUAUCAAUCCAAAUGAAUAUUGAUCAAUCAGAUGAGAAACAUCUUUGUGCUACUGUUAGAAGUAUAUACUUUUAGCCCAGAUCCUAGCCUCCAGUUUUACCCUCCAUUUUGCAUAGGAAAUCAGGAUCCCUGGGCCCUAUGGGUUUCUGUAUUCAGUUAGGAAAUUACCUAUCUCUGGAAAUUAAACUUUUUAGGACUAUCUUUGUUUGAUAUUUGAUUCACAGAAGACGUUGAUGGUUAUUAGUGAAAGAACUUCUCUGGUGCUUCCCUCCUUCUAGAAUAUAUUCAUUCAGGUUCAUGUGGUUAUGCUUCCCUGGGGGCUCAAGCUUAGAUCAAUGAACAUUGCCUUUUUUGCAUUAUUUUCUUACUGGAGAAAUAUAGCACUCCUCAGGCUGCGCCAAUACCCCUAAAAGAAAUUCUGUUGGUUUGUUUUUUUUUCUUUUUUAAGAUGCAUAUGGGUGUGGAAAUUUUAAUCUUAAAAUAAUGUUAUUUCCUCAGCAGUGAUGAUUCACAAGGUAUUUAUCACAUCAAGUCACUCCCUAAAUGCAGGCUCACCACAUCCUGAUGACUUUAGAACUCCUUUUCCAGGGAGGUUCUUGCUUCUUUGUUGCCAAAACAAUAAAUCCUUUGUGACCUUUGUCCUUGCUCCUAGAAUAUUUGGGUGAAGGAGUAUAUGCUGUCAGUGGUGACCUCCUCUUCUUCUGACCCAUGCCCUAGGUAUCAAAGUCUCAACAGCCCUAGAACGCUGAUAACAAAGGUUUGUUUUGUCUAAGUAGGUAAAGGAAUUAUCCAAUUGUAAUCAUUUUAUCUUCAGUAGUUAAAUAAUUUUUAUUUCACCAAGUACAGCUUUUAUUCUUUCUUUAACUCUUUUGCUAUCUUUAAUUCUUUUAAACUAUUAACAGUUUUUAUGCUUAAAAUUUAUGAGCUAUGCACAGGAGAGUCAAAGAUGCUGCUGCCUCUCUUUAGAGGCUCAUAUUACAGAAACUGGCGACCCUCAGUUGUUCACUAGUUCAGUGUGAUCUGUUGAAGUUUCUUACAUCUCUGUCUACAUGAAACUUUGACGGUGCAGGGCAGUGAGCCCCAUGCUAUCACAUUAAAUAGUCAUAG
RNAcentral lists this long non-coding RNA (2537 nucleotides) under Homo sapiens (human). RNAcentral describes it as "MIR31 host gene". Lineage: Eukaryota; Metazoa; Chordata; Mammalia; Primates; Hominidae. The record is from RNAcentral.